RNAcentral lists this ribosomal RNA (1610 nucleotides) under Holacanthella duospinosa. Its description in RNAcentral is "SSU rRNA". It matches the Rfam family "Eukaryotic small subunit ribosomal RNA", at positions 1 to 1616 of the family's 1831-position model. Lineage: Eukaryota; Metazoa; Arthropoda; Collembola; Poduromorpha; Neanuridae. The record is from RNAcentral.
UCCGAUUGAUUCUGUCGGCGUUGUAUGCUUAAGUAAAAGACUAAGCCAUGCAUGUAAAAAGUUCAGCUUUAUAGUGAAACUGCGAACGGCUCAUUAGAGCAGCUAUUAUUCUCUUCGGAUCCUUAAUGGAUAACUGCGGUAAUUCUGGAGCUAAUACAUGCAACGAAACCACCUUUUCGGAGGUGGUGCAGUUAUUAGAACAGACCAAUCGUCUUCGGACGUAGUUUGUUGACUCUGAAUAACGUAGCNGGAGGUGGUGCAGUUAUUAGAACAGACCAAUCGUCUUCGGACGUAGUUUGUUGACUCUGAAUAACGUAGCUAAUCGACGGUCAAUCCGUCGAUAACCGAAAGAAGUGUCUGCCCUAUCAACCAGAUGGUAGUCUAUUAGUCUACCAUGGUUAUCACGGGUAACGGAGAAUCAGGGUUCGACUCCGGAGAGGGAGCCUUAGAAACGGCUACCACAUCCAAGGAAGGCAGCAGGCGCGUAACUUAUCCACUACUUCAGUGAGAUAGUGACUAAAAAUAAAAAGACCGAUCCAAUGGAUCGGUUAUUUCAAUGAGUUGAGCCUAAAUAGCUCUUCGAGGACCCAGUGGAGGGCAAGUCUGGUGCCAGCAGCCGCGGUAAUUCCAGCUCCACUAGUGUACACCGUUAUUGCUGCGGUUAAAAAGCUCGUAGUUGGAUUCGAGUCUAGUACGAUCGCUCGCUUCGGCGUUAGUGAUCGUCUAGACUAUUUUGCUGGUCUUCUGUAGGUAACUUCGGUUCCUACAGUGGCUAGCGAGUUUACUUUGAAUAAAACAGAGUGCUCAAAACAAGCGUUUGCUUGAAUGCUCAAUCAUGGAAUAAUGAAAAAGGACUUCGGUCUUAUUUAUUGGUUCUAAGACUGAAAUAAUGAUUAAGAGAGACAAUCGGGGACAUUCGUAUCAUUGCGCGAGAGGUGAAAUUCGUGGACCGCAGUGGGACGCCCAAAAGCGAAAGCAUUUGUCAAGUAUGUCUUCAUUAAUCAAGAACGAAAGUCAGAGGUUCGAAGGCGAUUAGAUACCGCCCUAGUUCUGACCGUAAACUAUGCCAUCUAGCGAUCCAAUGGGGCAUUUAUGCCUCGUCGGGGAGCUUCCCGGAAACGAAAGUCUUUCGGUUCCUGGGGUAGUAUGGUUGCAAAGCUGAAACUUAAAGAAAUUGACGGAAGGGCACCACCAGGAGUGGAGCCUGCGGCUUAAUUUGACUCAACACGGGAAAACUCACCCGGCCCGGACACCGUUAGGAUUGACAGAUUGAAAGCUCUUUCUCGAUUUGGUGGUUGGUGGUGCAUGGCCGUUCUUAGUUGGUGGAGCGAUUUGUCUGGUUUAUUCCGAUAACGAGCGAGACUCUAGCCUACUAAAUAGUUACAGAAUUUUCGAGUUCUGUUAACUUCUUAGAGGGAUAAGCGGUGUUUAACCGCACGAGAUUGAGCGAUAACAGGUCUGUGAUGCCCUUAGAUGUCCGGGGCUGCACGCGCGCUACACUAGAGAAAUCAGCUGGUAUUCCAUUGCCGAAAGGUAUUGGUAAUCCGUUGAAACUUCUCUGUGACCGGGAUAGGGAAUUGUAAUUAUUUCCCUUGAACGAGGAAUUCCUA